Zea mays is the source of this 230-nucleotide long non-coding RNA. RefSeq lists it as uncharacterized. Lineage: Eukaryota; Viridiplantae; Streptophyta; Magnoliopsida; Poales; Poaceae. The record is from RefSeq and is a predicted model, not a curated record. The transcript has 3 exons.
AUUAAAGGUCUCCAAAGACAAAUUGAUAUGAUAUCUCAACGUAAGGAGUUAAAAGACCACAGGUGGCCAGACCUCCAAGUUGCUUCUUGGCCGCUCAGAGAAAUAGACAUGGGAUAUGCAAAGCAGACAGAUAGCUCUUCAUGUGGCCUCUUUCUUUUGAACUAUAUCGAAUACUGGACAGGGGAUGAACUGUCUGACAGUUUUACCCAGGAUGACAUGUCACACUUUAG